RNAcentral lists this ribosomal RNA (253 nucleotides) under uncultured bacterium. RNAcentral describes it as "partial 16S ribosomal RNA". It matches the Rfam family "Bacterial small subunit ribosomal RNA", at positions 524 to 776 of the family's 1533-position model. The record is from RNAcentral.
UACGAAGGGUGCAAACGUUGCUCGGAAUUAUUGGGCGUAAAGCGCACGUAGGCGGCUUUGCAAGUCGGAUGUGAAAUCCCUCGGCUUAACCAAGGAAGUGCAUCCGAAACUGCAGAGCUUGAGUACUUAAGAGGAUCGCGGAAUUCCCGGUGUAGAGGUGAAAUUCGUAGAUAUCGGGAGGAACACCAGUGGCGAAGGCGGCGAUCUGGGUAGAUACUGACGCUGAGGCGCGAAAGCGUGGGGAGCAAACAGG